Molecule: non-coding RNA, 474 nt
Filed under: Perkinsus marinus ATCC 50983
Lineage: Eukaryota; Perkinsozoa; Perkinsida; Perkinsidae
Description: Eukaryotic small subunit ribosomal RNA
Rfam family: Eukaryotic small subunit ribosomal RNA
Source: Rfam by way of RNAcentral
AACGAGACCUUAACCUGCUAAAUAGUUGCGCGAAACUUUAUGUUUCGUCGCUACUUCUUAGAGGGACUUUGUGUGUUUAACACAAGGAAGCUUGAGGCAAUAACAGGUCUGUGAUGCCCUUAGAUGUUCUGGGCUGCACGCGCGCUACACUGACACGAUCAACAAGUAUUUCCUUGCCCGGUAGGGUUAGGGUAAUCUUUUGAAAUCGUGUCGUGCUAGGGAUAGACGAUUGCAAUUAUUCGUCUUCAACGAGGAAUUCCUAGUAAAUGCAAGUCAUCAGCUUGCGUUGAUUACGUCCCUGCCCUUUGUACACACCGCCCGUCGCUCCUACCGAUUGAGUGAUCCGGUGAGCUGUCCGGACUGCGAUUAGUUCAGUUUCUGUUCUCUUCGCGGGAAGUUCUGCAAACCUUAUCACUUAGAGGAAGGAGAAGUCGUAACAAGGUUUCCGUAGGUGAACCUGCGGAAGGAUCAUUC